This 253-nucleotide ribosomal RNA is filed under the name uncultured bacterium. Its description in RNAcentral is "partial 16S ribosomal RNA". It matches the Rfam family "Bacterial small subunit ribosomal RNA", at positions 524 to 776 of the family's 1533-position model. The record is from RNAcentral.
UACGUAGGGUGCAAGCGUUAAUCGGAAUUACUGGGCGUAAAGCGUGCGCAGGCGGCUUUGCAAGACAGAUGUGAAAUCCCCGGGCUCAACCUGGGAACUGCAUUUGUGACUGCAUGGCUGGAGUGCGGCAGAGGGGGAUGGAAUUCUGCGUGUAGCAGUGAAAUGCGUAGAUAUCGGGAGGAACACCGGUGGCGAAGGCGGCUCACUGGGCCGGUCCUGACGCUCAGGCGCGAAAGCGUGGGGAGCGAUCCGG